This 253-nucleotide ribosomal RNA is filed under the name uncultured bacterium. RNAcentral describes it as "partial 16S ribosomal RNA". It matches the Rfam family "Bacterial small subunit ribosomal RNA", at positions 524 to 776 of the family's 1533-position model. The record is from RNAcentral.
UACGGAGGGGGCGAGCGUUGUUCGGAAUCACUGGGCGUAAAGAGUGCGUAGGCGGUUAUACAAGUCAGAAGUGAAAUCCCAGGGCUUAACCUUGGAAUUGCUUUUGAGACUGUAUGACUAGAGAUCUAGAGAGGUUGGGGGAAUUCCGAGUGUAGAGGUGAAAUUCGCAGAUAUUCGGAGGAACACCAGUGGCGUAGGCGCCCAACUGGCUAGAUACUGACGCUGAGGCACGAAAGCGUGGGGAGCAAACAGG